Non-coding RNA from Paramuricea clavata, 494 nucleotides. Lineage: Eukaryota; Metazoa; Cnidaria; Anthozoa; Malacalcyonacea; Plexauridae. The record is from the annotation of a GenBank genome assembly.
ACUAGUGUCGCUAGCGAACACGCGAAUGUAAACAAACAGCUAAAAAUAGGCCCAAUUCGGAGAUUUAUAACUUUUCAGAAAAUUGCUUGCAGACGAGUUUUAUUCCCGAUUACUUAACUUUAGUAGGUAUACUUUCAAAUUACAUGCCUUUUGAACUUCAGAUAAGUGCCACUUUUGAGCUAUUUUAAGUAAAAUAUGAGCAAUUUUCAGCCUCUCGUCGCCAUCUUGAAAACAUAGUUUCGUAAAACUAUAAAAAAUUCGUAUUAAGCAAAUAAAUUUGUUCAAUCUCCAUGUAAACGAGAGUAUUAGUGUUAAUCUUGCAUGUGAACAGUAACUGGAGGGGAUAAACGCAUCACAACGUUUUUAAAAAAUCAGAUGAAUUCUUGUAAAAUUCCCCUUCAUUUCCGGUCCGAAAAUAUUCUCGCAAGGUCAAAUUUCAACAUGGCUAUAACUCCUAUAAAACAGAAAGUUGAAACGUUCUGAAAGAAGCUCGA